Molecule: ribosomal RNA, 400 nt
Filed under: uncultured bacterium
Lineage: Bacteria
Description: bacterial SSU rRNA
Rfam family: Bacterial small subunit ribosomal RNA
Source: RNAcentral
GAAUAUUGCACAAUGGGGGAAACCCUGAUGCAGCGACGCCGCGUGAGUGAAGAAGUAUUUCGGUACGUAAAGCUCUAUCAGCAGGGAAGAAAAUGACGGUACCUGACUCAGAAGCCCCGGCUAACUACGUGCCCGCAGCCGCGGUAAUACGUAGGGGGCAAGCGUUAUCCGGAGUUACUGGGUGUAAAGGGAGCGUAGACGGCAGGGCAAGUCUGGAGUGAAAGCCCGGGGCUCAACCCCGGGACUGCUUUGGAAACUGCCUAGCUAGAGUGCAGGAGAGGUAAGAGGAAUUCCUAGUGUAGCGGUGAAAUGCGUAGAUAUUAGGAGGAACACCAGUGGCGAAGGCGUCUUACUGGACUGUAACUGACGUUGAGGCUCGAAAGCGUGGGGAGCAAACAGG